CCCUCGCCUCCUGCUUAAUUUCUGGAGAAGCCAAUUGGCUUAACCCCCCCCCCGAUUGACCGUAGCUUUUCCCCAGAGAAGGAGCCGCGCGCGUUAUCUGCCUUCCCCAGUUGGAGUUUGCGGCGUGAGAAAGCGGGGCUGGCGAGCACCUGCCUCUUAGUCAUCCCUGGGCUUGAGGAUGUCCCCAGAUUACAUCUUCUCAGCUGUUUGCAAAACAGCGCUGGGAGGAGCGCGAGCCCCGAAUUACACACAGCCGCGGCUGUCCCUUUAAAUGCUGGGGUCUGCGCGCCGGAGAGGGGAGGGGCCGGCUCCGGAGUGCGUGAAAUUCCUGGGCUCCUCCGACAGUCUCAGGCAGAGCGCUCCGCUCUACGCAUCUCUCCUCGCACGCAACUCGCGGAGAGAGGGGCUGAGGCGCGCCAAAGCUUUCCCUCGCUCCUCGCUGCCUGCAUCGCGCGUUCCCUCAGCCUGCUUCGCAGCCCGCGUUUUUGCGCCUCCGACAACGCCCUCCCGGUCCCGCCUCGCGCUUCCCCUCCCACCACACUCUCUUGCUGAGAGAGAGAGAGAGAGAGAGGCAAGAGACACCCCUGGAUUUCUUAGCGGCCCCCCAAAGAAGGAAACAAACAAAGAGUUGGUUAAACAACCCCACUCGCUUCUCAACUACCAAGGCCAGCUGAACCCAAAAUGGGGAAUUCCAGGGGAUGAGCUGGCCUGGAAUCUGCUGGAUCGCAACCUGAUCCUGCUGCCACCGGAGGCACUGGACUUGAAUCCAGUCUAAUUGCUGCACCUGCCUGGAGCUAUUUCAGGGAUCAGGGCCUGAUUGCCAAGAAGUGAAGAAUUAGGGGCUGGAUCAUCUUCGGUACACAAUGAAGAUUGACUUUGGCUUUUCUGUCCAAGGCGUCCCAUGUUUGAUGAGUUCACUAUCUGCCAUGCUUUGCUGCCAUCCCCAUUGCUUCUAAGAAACCACAGUUUGGAGACAGGCCAUUGACUCUCCCUCCAUCCUUCACUGAAGACAGCUGGGGUCAGCAACGCAAGGCCACAGCAGGAAACCUCAACCUUUGAAAACAAAACCCACCCGCCUUCUGAAUCCCUCGCACCAUUUCCUCUCCUUCUAGGAUAAAGGCCUCUGGAUCCUAAGGGAUAGCUGAGAUCUUUCCUUGGCAAGGAGAACUUGCCUCUCCAGUCAAGUCUUUCCUCUCUUGUGGAGUUAAACGGCUGUAGUGCCUAUUACCAGAGCCAUCCUCUCUGGUGUGAGUGGCUUUAAUUUUGUUUUUCUCGUAAGGGAGAAGA
This 1287-nucleotide long non-coding RNA is filed under the name Podarcis muralis (Common wall lizard). RNAcentral describes it as "lncRNA (ENSPMRG00000002447.1)". The record is from RNAcentral. Lineage: Eukaryota; Metazoa; Chordata; Lepidosauria; Squamata; Lacertidae.